UAAACCAAUGCCUGCUGGUUUUAGGCAAAUAGCUGUUAACUAUUUUUUGCGGGGUCGAGGCCCGCUGGUUUAU
RNAcentral lists this transfer RNA (73 nucleotides) under Phrynocephalus reticulatus bannikovi. RNAcentral's name for it is "tRNA-Asn". The record is from RNAcentral. Lineage: Eukaryota; Metazoa; Chordata; Lepidosauria; Squamata; Agamidae.